Molecule: long non-coding RNA, 2274 nt
Filed under: Sinocyclocheilus grahami
Lineage: Eukaryota; Metazoa; Chordata; Actinopteri; Cypriniformes; Cyprinidae
Description: lncRNA (ENSSGRG00000005940.1)
Source: RNAcentral
AUGUCAGAAGAAAAGUAUUGUCAGGAUGACUUCAUCCCUGCAGAGAACAGUCUUCCAGAAACUAUACACUAUCACCAAUCCGUCGUUAAAGACUACGGUACUUUUAACACUCCCGUCAACUUGCCACCAGAUACUGAUAGCACACAGUCCACUGGAAAGCGUGACAGCGGUGUGUCCAUGUCCACUGAAAGCAGGAGUCUCAAAUCUUGCAGCGAUAAUGGGUCUGAGCUUGGGACAAACGCCACACAAGACCGAAAUCAUGAUGCUGUGCAACCAGAUCUAUCCGUUGAAGCUGUUAGUCCUCAGUUCAAUGACGAGUGUGUCCAUGAAUCAGACUCUAGUCACAGUUCUACAGUGUUUAAUUCCUUCGAUGCCGAUUCCAAUGUAUUCGCUGAAGAGGAGGAGGAGGACAGGGUUGACGUACAGGCUGGAUCCGGUUUAAUUAAAAGAGCUAACUCUCUGUGUGGUCUGCAGAGCAUCAUCGCAGGGUCCUAUACAGGGUUUCCUCUAAGUCCAUGUGACCCUGAUCCUCUCCCAGGCGAUUUCCAGAAGACCUUUGAACAUCAUAUUACCACUUCUGAACUAAAUGCUGCGAAUGACAAAGAACUCAUAAAAACUGAGAGUUUAUCUCCAGAUGAUAGUGCAGGUCCUCUGUGUGAACAGUUGCAUGAUAUAAACAGUAGCUCUCCUUCCAUUUCUCCUUCUCAACCUUCUGCUUUAGACGAAUACGACUACAAAUAUGGAGAUAUGUUCUUCUUCACUGUGAGAUUAGAUCCCGGUAGCCCUGAACUACAUAAUCAAAGUCCAGUUUGUCCUGAACACAAUUAUGUAAAGAAAGAGGAGUCCAAUUGCCAAAUUAAUUGGCAGGACACCUCUUUGAGCCCUGAAUUUAAUGAUGCAGAUGAAUUUGAAUGCUCCAGUCCAAAGCCUGAAGACACAGAACAACGCAACCAGAUCACUAACGACGAGAACGAAGUGGAGGUGGAAAUCGCUAAACAUGAUGAAAUAUUAGUGCCUGAUUCUGAAAAGGUGGUUUUAGAUAUCCCAUGUCUUACAUUUAAUGAUUCAAAUGCUUGCCAAAGUGUGCUUGAUUCAGAGUGGAAUGACCAAUGGACGGCAAAUCCAGAUGUAGCUGAACCUGUUCCUGAUUCACCCAUCCUGGACACGGAAAGCAAUCCGCCAAAUUCUACAGCUCAAGACGUCUUUUGUCUGUUUAGUAACACAGAAACAUCAGCUACUGACCAGUUUUAUGCCAAUAAACAACUCAGCCCUGAAUCUAGCAGUUCACCACACAAACCUUCUUCCUCUGAAGGCUUGGCCAUGAGUAAACUUGAACUCCAGUAUUUUGACCCAUUUAGUCCCAUACCUGCUGAGCCGGUCGAAGGCGUAUCUGACUUAGAAGAAAUGAACACUGUUAACUCAUUCUGUCAUGAAGCUCCAAGACUAGAUUCUGGUUACCAUGAAGUUGGUACUCCUACUCCUUUUAGUCCAGAACCUGCUGACAAAACCAAGUGUAGCAUUGAUCUUCAAGGCCCAGGUUUGGGAGCUAGGAAGCAGAGCAACUCUGAAAUCCACGUCCCUGAUCCAUUUAGCCCCGAAUCCGUCGAUACAGGGAUAUUUGACUCGGAAACGGAAAACUGUGAGUCUGGUUAUAUGAUAAGUACAUGCCAACUCUUAAGUCCUCAACCAGUUUACACAGAUUUAAAUAAUCUGGAGGAGAAGCAGAUGUCCUGUGACGUGCUAAGUGAUCAUCUCAGUGGAUCCGAACAUGAUGAUUGUUACCCCUUUGGUUCUUGUCCAUCUAAUGAAGAGAGUUAUGCUUAUAGUAGUGAAGAAAAACUCAUUGAACCAGUCCGAGAAGGAUAUGAUGCUUCAGGAGAAUCCAAACCUUGCUCUAUAGUGUCAAAUGCUAGUGGUUCCUCUCAAGUAUUUCACUGUGGUUCGGUGUGGGGAACCUCUGAAAUGAGCUUUCCCGACUCUGAAGUGCUUGGCCCAAUGAAAAACAACAUUUUUGAUUUUAAUACAAUGGAUGUUGGCUCAUUUGUGUCCAACGAAAGCCAAGAAGCUGAAGAGGCUCAACACGGUGCUGGAAAAGUGACGAAAAACGCCGACCUGUCUGAAAUUGACUAUUUCUGUUCUGAGCUCAGUAAAAUGGUAUCCUCAAGUUCGUCUGAUUCUGUUCAGCAAAGUGUUGCUGAGAUGUUAUUCGGCGCUGAUCCCAACGCCUCAAGCUUUUACCCCUGGGAUUUUGAAAAGCCACAACACAGUUGUUAG